AUUGGUUGUUGUAUUUUGGUUUUGUUGAAGUAUUCUGUUUUAGUUUUCCCGUCAAUUGUAUUGUUUUAAAUUUAAUUUGUAUAUUAAACUACACAACACAAAAUUAUAGCCCAAAUUAUCGUGUGCCCGAUCGCAAGUGACGACGAGUGUAACCAUAGAAACAGCCAAGACCCAAGCAAGAGAGUGCAGCGUAGCAGCCAGGGCUUGCGACCGGUGACGAAAUACGAGUCGGCGGAAGAGAUAGCGAUAGCACUAUCCAAGCACAAGCGCACACUGACUGCUGGCAUUCAGCAGCGAGCAUUCCCGGCGAACAGGCGCAAUUCCAGCAGCAGCAGCAGCAGCCAGUCCCCAGACCAGACCAGACCAGUCCCGCAGCCACAGUCAGAAGCCGAACCAUGUCCGUCGAUCCCAAUACACCCGUGCUGCGGAACUGCAUCCACCUGCCGUUGCCCGAGGACGAAUUGAUCGAGGUGACGGGCAAGGCCAAGGACUAUGCCAUCAUGCACGGUGCGGCCAUGCGUUCCAAGACCAGCUUCAGUCCGGAUUCCUUGAACUUUGCUCCGUUUGUGCUGGUCCCCUCCUCGUUUCCGCGCAAGGAGUUCGAGAAGGCGGUGGGCUUGCAGCCGAUCAUCAACCGUCUGAUGCACAAUGUGGCCCACGAUGAGGAGUUCAUCACCACCACCCUGGCGGAGACUAUCAAGGUGGAUGAGUUCACCGCCAAUCUGUUUAACAUCUAUCGGAAAGUGCUGGCACAUGGCUUCACACAGCGAACAUCAUUGGGGAUGCUGCGCAGCGACCUAAUGCUAGAGUCCGGAUGCCCGGAGCUCUCGCCCAAGGCCCUGCUGCUGCGAGGAGAGGCUGGCGAGGAUGGUCAAGCGGAUACUGCUGCUGCUGCUGCUGGGACUGGAAGUGGAAGUGGAGGAGGCGGAAGAGGCAAGGCCAAGUCCAAGGCAGAAGCGAGGUCGGAAGAGGAGGAGGCCAAGCGGGAUAUGCAUCUGAGUCGGGCCACAGUCUCUGGGAUAACCACCGCUACCGUGGCAUCCAAGGAUCGAAAGACGGCGGCCUACUGCUGCUGGAAGCAGGUCGAGAUCAAUACGAUAGCUUCGGGCUUUGGCCAUUUGGGACCAGCAAGUAAAACCGUACAAAGGCUUAUAGCAUCGGCCUAUUGCGUUCCGACUAUUUGGGUCACGUGUACGAGGGCUGUGCCAUAAAGCAGGUCGAAAUCAACACGGUUGCCUCCAGUUUCGGUGGCAUUGCCACACACUUGGUGCAGCUGCAGAAUUUUGUGCUGAGAGAACUGGGACAUGCCGACAAGCUGCCGAAA
RNAcentral lists this unclassified non-coding RNA (1324 nucleotides) under Drosophila pseudoobscura pseudoobscura. Its description in RNAcentral is "GA19893". Lineage: Eukaryota; Metazoa; Arthropoda; Insecta; Diptera; Drosophilidae. The record is from RNAcentral.